Molecule: transfer RNA, 70 nt
Filed under: Mus musculus (house mouse)
Lineage: Eukaryota; Metazoa; Chordata; Mammalia; Rodentia; Muridae
Description: tRNA-Ser
Source: RNAcentral
GGUGAGUGGCUCAGCUGGUAAGAGCACUGGCUGCUCUUCAGAAGGUCCUGAGUUUAAAUCCCAGCAACCA